GCCCAGGCCGAGCGAGGCGUUCCCGGAGGUGUCCAGCAGAGGACGCUGCCGGCGGAGACGGGACCGGAAGCCGGGCCGGAGGCGGCCGGGCGUAUUCGCCGACUCCUCCCGCUUCCGCUGCCGCAGCCGGUCGGAACCAAGUUGUCUCCUUUCAGGCGCUGUCCCCAUCGCCGCGAUGCCGCUGGAGAACCUGGAGGAGGAGGGUCUGCCCAAGAACCCCGACUUGCGCAUCGCGCAGCUGCGCUUCCUGCUCAGCCUGCCCGAGCACCGGGGAGACGCUGCCGUGCGCGACGAGCUGAUGGCGGCCGUCCGCGAUAACAACAUGGCUCCUUACUAUGAAGCCUUGUGCAAAUCCCUCGACUGGCAGAUAGACGUGGACCUACUCAAUAAAAUGAGGAAGGCAAAUGAAGACGAGUUGAAGCGUUUGGAUGAGGAGCUGGAAGAUGCAGAGAAGAAUCUAGGAGAGAGCGAAAUUCGCGAUGCAAUGAUGGCAAAGGCCGAGUACCUCUGCCGGAUAGGUGACAAAGAGGGAGCUCUGACAGCUUUUCGCAAGACAUAUGACAAAACUGUGGCCCUGGGUCACCGAUUGGAUAUUGUAUUCUAUCUGCUUAGGAUUGGCUUGUUUUACAUGGAUAAUGAUCUCAUCACACGAAACACAGAAAAGGCCAAAAGCUUAAUAGAAGAAGGAGGAGACUGGGACAGGAGAAACCGCCUAAAAGUGUAUCAGGGUCUUUAUUGUGUGGCUAUUCGUGAUUUCAAACAGGCAGCCGAACUCUUCCUUGACACUGUUUCAACAUUUACAUCCUAUGAACUCAUGGAUUAUAAAACAUUUGUGACUUAUACUGUCUAUGUCAGUAUGAUUGCCUUAGAAAGACCAGAUCUCAGGGAGAAGGUCAUUAAAGGAGCAGAGAUUCUUGAAGUGUUGCACAGUCUUCCAGCAGUUCGGCAGUAUCUGUUUUCACUCUAUGAAUGCCGUUACUCUGUUUUCUUCCAAUCAUUAGCGGUUGUGGAACAGGAAAUGAAAAAGGACUGGCUUUUUGCCCCUCAUUAUCGAUACUAUGUAAGAGAAAUGAGAAUUCAUGCAUACAGUCAGCUGCUGGAAUCAUAUAGGUCAUUAACCCUUGGCUAUAUGGCAGAAGCGUUUGGUGUUGGUGUGGAAUUCAUUGAUCAGAUCAUGCUUAUUCUAGUAGAUGAUGACUUAAAGCCUGCAAUACACCAGGGACUACCUCAACUACUGUAUAUUGCAAUAACAAGCUUGAAGGAAGCUAAAUGUUACAAAUUUAAGACUAUUUUAAUGCAGUUUGCAUUUUUCUAAGAAUUUUCUAUAAAGCUAAUUCUGUUAUUUUUUUUUUUUUCUCUAAAUUAGGGAACUGUCCAGGUUUAUUGCUGCUGGGAGACUACACUGCAAAAUAGAUAAAGUGAAUGAAAUAGUAGAAACCAACAGACCUGAUAGCAAGAACUGGCAGUACCAAGAAACUAUCAAGAAAGGAGAUCUGCUACUAAACAGAGUUCAAAAACUUUCCAGAGUAAUUAAUAUGUAAAGCCAUGUAACAAAAAAGAUUUGCUUUAGAGAUAAUUAUUUGGAAUUUUUAUAGCUUACUUCACAAUGUGCCCAGGUCAACUGUAUAAAAUAAAUACUGCAUUGUUGUUUCUUUCCAUUUAUUUUUUCUUAAACACAUAGGCCUUCUAGAAUGGGGUCCACUUACAUUAAAAUAAUGUCACUUGAAUUAUUCAUUAAUGAAAAUCUGGUUUAUAGCAUAACGUUGCAGCCGGGUUCAGCUAGGUUCAGAUCCUGACUGCCUCAUCAGUAAAAUAUGGAUGGUGACACAGCCCAUUAUCGCUUACCUUUAAAUCUCUUACCUUUAAGCUUCCCGAUUUUAGGAAUAAGAGUACAUACAUACUAUAUAGUGGCCUACAAUUAAACAGUGUCUCCCACUUACUUAGUAUACAAAAGAUAGAAGAUGAUAAAUAAAAUAAGCUUUCCGGCAGGAAGUUACCCUUUUUUAGGAAGCUGACAUAACCUGGAUUACAGAAUCUACCAAGGCUUAUCUUAGUUUUCUAAAACCUUAUACGUAAGUAUUGGCAAACUGAAUCUUUUUUCCAAAAGUAGGACCAUAGUAAUAAUAGCAGUGAGGAAGACAAAAGUUAGUUGUUCCCCUGUUUGUUUGAAACAGUUUAUAACUAUAUUAGUUUUAUUCAGUGUGUCAGGAAUAAGUGCUAUAAGAAGUAUAAAACCAGAUAGAUAGAUAGAGAUACAGGGUAUAGGCUCUCUUCUGGGGUGCUGUGGAAGGCUUCUAUGGUAAGGUGACAUUUAAGUGAAAAAGAGGGAGAGCCCGUGAACAUAUGGAGGGAAGAAAGACAGACAGGGAAAGUCACUGGCAAUUUUAAGUGCGGAUUUGGCUUACCUUUUAAGUCUCACUUAUGGCAUUUGGUGGCAUGGAUUAUACAGGCAGCUGGAUUUGCUAAAAGAUUUAGAAUGGGGUGAGGAGGAUGAGGGGGAGAAAAUUUGUCAGAGGAGAACCUAGGCUUUUUGGCUUAAGUAAAAGACAGACAGCUAGUGACCUUAAUGAGCAGUUUUGGUAGAGGUGAGUUCAGAAGAGAAUGGGAAAUGGCAUUUUACUGUAAAAGGCAGGGGAAGGAAAGAAGAGUUUUGAAUUUUUUCGUUUUAAAGAACAUUUACUGAUGGGAAUGAUCCCUGUUAACAUAUUAGUAGAAAAAAACACAUGAUCUCAUUUGAUUGAAAAUAAUUUGAUACAAUUCAACAUUUCUUCAUGAUAAAAACUCUUCAGUAGACUAUGAAAAUAAUAGGUUGGGAAAUCAAAGCCCUAUCACAAGGUAAUUAAUGGCAAAAUAUUAGAAGGUAAUUAAUGGCAAAAUAUAGAGACAGCAGCUCUCAUCGCUGGAAGAAGAGCCAUUGGUUAUAUGCCAAGGAAAGCAAUGUGGCCAGAGCUCUGUUUUGAAAGGAGUUUCCUGUAGGCACUAUAUGGUGGAGGGGAGGCUUUUAAAAUGCGGAAUAUGCCUAAAGUAUUUAAGAAUAUCCACCUAUGAAUUUCUAAAAAUGCUUAUCUAGAAAACAUAUUUCUUGAAGGAAAAAACCUCAGCUUUUUGGUUUUCUACAGAAAACCAAAGCUAGUCAGGAAUGCAAAGGUGGCUUCUGAAUGCUACAAAGUUGCAGUUGGUCACCCACAGGCUGCAACUGACACACCCUAAAUACUUUUCCAAGAAAAAAAUUUAUAGUUACCACAUAAAAGUUGACAGUUUAAAAACCACAUAUCUAGCUUCUCUGGAAAAAGGAUAGAUGAGGCUAACUCUGGACUCAGGCUCCAAUAAGCUGAGCGACAAGCAUAGCGUGUUUUCCAGUGUGCCCCAGUCCACCCAGUGUGUUCAUAUAUACUGCCUGUCUGCCUGGCCCCUGCUGGCAUUUGAGUUUGUUAUCCCUGUAUUACCCCCAAUAUUGUACAUAUGAGGUUGAUGAUUAACAGCCUCCUGUGUUAAUCAACUAAGACAGGGGUGUCCAAUCUUUGGGUUUCCUUGGGCCACACUGGAAGAAUUGUCUUGGGUGACACAAAAUACACUAAGGAUAGUUGAUGAGCUCAAAACAAAACACCACA
Nomascus leucogenys (northern white-cheeked gibbon) is the source of this 3611-nucleotide RNA transcript. It is a transcript of the gene named proteasome 26S subunit, non-ATPase 6, with no coding region annotated. The record is from RefSeq and is a predicted model, not a curated record. The transcript is spliced from 8 exons. NCBI's taxonomy places the organism in Eukaryota, Metazoa, Chordata, Mammalia, Primates, Hylobatidae.